GCCAGACUCCUACGGGAGGCAGCAGUGAGGAAUAUUGGUCAAUGGCCGAGAGGCUGAACCAGCCAAGUCGCGUGAGGGAAGACGGCCCUACGGGUUGUAAACCUCUUUUGUCGGGGAGCAAAGCGAGUCACGUGUGACUCAUUGAGAGUACCCGAAGAAAAAGCAUCGGCUAACUCCGUGCCAGCAGCCGCGGUAAUACGGAGGAUGCGAGCGUUAUCCGGAUUUAUUGGGUUUAAAGGGUGCGUAGGCGGGCUGUUAAGUCAGCGGUAAAAGCCCGGGGCUCACCCCGGGCGAGCCGUUGAAACUGGCUGUCUCGAGUUGGAGAGAAGUAUGCGGAAUGCGCGGUGUAGCGGUGAAAUGCAUAGAUAUCACGCAGAACUCCGAUUGCGAAGGCAGCAUACCGGCGCCCAACUGACGCUCAGGCACGAAAGCGUGGGUAUCGAACAGGAUUAGAUACCCCGGUA
RNAcentral lists this ribosomal RNA (464 nucleotides) under uncultured bacterium. RNAcentral describes it as "bacterial SSU rRNA". It matches the Rfam family "Bacterial small subunit ribosomal RNA", at positions 330 to 792 of the family's 1533-position model. The record is from RNAcentral.